AACCCCUGUCAGCCUGCCGGGGGACGCGGUGCCCGCCCUCCGGCAUCCGGGAAACAGCGUCCCAGCCGGCGCCUGCGCAGGUGCCACACUUCCUGGUCCUCUCUGGCUGCUUCUGAGUGCCUUGGCUCUGGCCGGGGCGCUGCAACGGGCUCAGCCUUCUAGGGGUGGCGGGUGAAGGCCUACACCUGCCCCAGGACGGCCAGGUCCACCAGCACCUGCAACAGACGGAGAACUGAAGGAGCAUCUUGAAGCUGUGGCUGUCUUGAAGGUGUCGCCGCUUGUCCUCACGAGCACCAUUUUGAUUCUCGUGCCCUGUGUGCAUGGGUGGCCAGCGUUGCUGGUAGGGCUCCUGCACGCUCAGAGUGGCCUUGGCCAGGAAGUCCGGGGUUUCCGCAGGCAGAGUGGAUGAACAAGGUACUGAGAAGAUCACAUACUGCAUGUCCUCCUAAAACCUGGUCCUGGCAUAACCUUCUAAGCUGUUUUAUUCAGAUUACAAUAAAUCAUGCCAUUCACACAAGUUCUUACAGGGAUUUAAUUGCAUCUUUGAAAGGUUUGGCAGAUACAUCAAGCCAGUUCAUUAAUGCACAGAUGAUUCCUUCACAUUAAGAAAGACACGUUGGAGCACCAUAAAUGUCAAGGCAGUUAUUACACACAAAAAGCAUAAAAUGGCAACCAUCAAAAGGUGAGCCCUUAUUCAGUUGAGAUCAAAAAUAAAACUGCAGUAACUCCUUUGUGUAAUAA
This 741-nucleotide long non-coding RNA is filed under the name Pan paniscus (pygmy chimpanzee). Its description in RNAcentral is "lncRNA (ENSPPAG00000045216.1)". The record is from RNAcentral. Lineage: Eukaryota; Metazoa; Chordata; Mammalia; Primates; Hominidae.